This 254-nucleotide ribosomal RNA is filed under the name uncultured bacterium. Its description in RNAcentral is "partial 16S ribosomal RNA". It matches the Rfam family "Bacterial small subunit ribosomal RNA", at positions 524 to 776 of the family's 1533-position model. The record is from RNAcentral.
GACGUAGGGCGCGAGCGUUGUCCGGAUUUAUUGGGCGUAAAGAGCUCGUAGGCGGCUUGUCGCGUCGACUGUGAAAACCCGUGGCUCAACCAUGUGGUCUGCAGUCGAUACGGGCAGGCUAGAUUUCGGUAGGGGAGACUGGAAUUCCUGGUGUAGCGGUGAAAUGCGCAGAUAUCAGGAGGAACACCGGUGGCGAAGGCGGGUCGCUGGGCCGAUAUUGACGCUGAGGAGCGAAAGCGUGGGGAGCAAACAGG